ACCAGUGUUUCUCGAGGGCAGUCUUGUUUCCUUGCAGCAGGAACGGUCAUAGAGGUGUCCAAAUAAUCACUUUCAUGGAUGGUUGCUGUAUGGUUGUAACAAUAGACUUUUCAACAACAUAAAGGAAAAGGAUAUAU
Trichomycterus rosablanca is the source of this 137-nucleotide small nucleolar RNA. NCBI's taxonomy places the organism in Eukaryota, Metazoa, Chordata, Actinopteri, Siluriformes, Trichomycteridae. The record is from RefSeq and is a predicted model, not a curated record.